UCUGAUUACUGGGCUCAAUCUGUUGCCAAUGGCAACCAGUGCCACUGCCAAUGCAGUGACAGCAUUGUUUCCAUCUGUGCCUACAGGACAAAUUUUAAAUCUUAGAGUUUAAAUUUCUGAAACAACCUUACAGACACAAUUAAUUAAUCUGUACUUUUCUUAGGGAUUCUUUUUUCAGCUGGUACACCUGCAAUAAGCAAAAUGACCCUUACCUUGCGUAAAAGCCAAAUAGCAGUUGGCCAGUAGCACCUCAAUUAUAACUUGUUCUAUGAAUUGAUGUCUCAGGUUUGUGCUCUUAACUACCUGCAGUUCUCCUUCCCAGCAUUACAGUGAGUGCCUGUGCAGCUUCUCCUUCCAAGACAGAGCUGAUGUGAAAACCAGGCCCAUGAUCCAUCUCCCUACAUAAUUCCACUAGCACAGCUCUGGGUACAGAGAAGCAUGAAAAAGUCCGUGUAAGGAAUAAAAACAGCCCUGUUUUGCAUCAGUCAAAGUUUCCAUCAUCAUCCUACUGCAGCCCAGGGCACCAAAGGUGGAGCUACUACAGCUGCUAUCUCUAAAAUGCUUUUCACUGGCAAAGAAAUGGGAUAUCACUGUGACAGAUUUGUGUGCUCGCCGACGGCUUGGAGAACAGCUUUUUGCAAAUAGAGGUGUCAAUGGGAAGAUCUUCUUACCAAUGUUCAUAUUUUCAUACCCAUCCAGCUGAAGGUGUCUAAUCAGAAAGCUGAAAUGGUUGGUGUUCAAAUGGUUGGUGUUCAGAAUUAAACAAGCUAAGUUGCCUGGAUGAUAACAGCAUUAACAGAGGGAAAUUUUUUUUUUUAUGGAAUUCCUUUUUUUUUUUUUAAAGAAAAAAAAGAGAAAAGGUCUUAACUUGAUCUUAAGACUAAAUUUAGUAAAUCAACAUUAACCACUGAAACAAGCAGGCAAAGAAAGUAGUCAGGAAUUUCACAAGCCAGGAAAACCAAGAAAUAAACUCACAAUAUUUACAAAGAUAAUGGAAAUUACUAAUGGCUGCUCCAACAUAUGUUAAAUGAUUUCUCACAACGUGUACAAUAGAAUGGACACGAAUUUUUUGUAAGUAGGGUAGCCUUGAGGUCCAGGAUAGGAUCUGAAGUAAGAAUUCUCUUCCUGAAAAAAAAAAAAAGCCCUUUGAACUGUGAGUUGAAACCAUGAAGCUAUUUCCCACAAGUAAUUACCAUUUUGCAUGCCACUCACUGCUGGUCCUAUUGCCUUUAGAAGCACAGCAUAUAUUGGAGGCUAUCAUAUCAAUCUACAGAGUUGAAUUAUAAUUUCUUUGAUAUAAUGACUCUCUUUGACAGUCACACACAGUCAAAGUCACUGUUCAGAAAGGAUAACCAAACUAUUGCCUCUCAAGUGUAAUACAUUGCAUUAAAAUGCAAGUCAUUUCUUAAAAUGCACAUUCACUGAACUCCAACCCUUCAUAAAUCUUGUAACAUUUCAUUUCACAGCUCUGGAAUCUUUAAAACUGGGGCUCUGGUAACUUCCUGCAUAACCUUAAAACACAUAUAAAUUUCCCACUUUAGCAUUUUUCUUCUCUUUUGUGCAAAAAUUGCAAAAGAAAAUGACAAACAGUUUGGAAUCUCUUGCCUAUAUGAUCUUUGCAGCACACCUGUCAAAAUCAAUUAUUAGACACUGGGUCUUCUCAUGUUGUUGAAGGCUUUUUGACAUCCACCCAAAUUUCCCAUCCUUUAAUUCCAUGUAUUUGCUCUGGGUGAUAAUGUCUUGAAAAAAAAUAAUUAUUUUUUCUAGGUUUAUAGGUAAUUUAUGUGGUCUUUAUAUGAUCUUCAUUCCCCCUUAGUAAA
Molecule: long non-coding RNA, 1820 nt
Organism: Passer domesticus (house sparrow)
Lineage: Eukaryota; Metazoa; Chordata; Aves; Passeriformes; Passeridae
Exons: 3
Source: RefSeq, a predicted model, not a curated record